Molecule: long non-coding RNA, 294 nt
Filed under: Elaeis guineensis (African oil palm)
Lineage: Eukaryota; Viridiplantae; Streptophyta; Magnoliopsida; Arecales; Arecaceae
Description: long non-coding RNA (EGUI_LNC009993)
Source: RNAcentral
GGAGGGAAAGGGAGGGAGAAAGAGAGAGAGAGAAAGAGUGAGUGAGAUCUCCUUUUUACCCUCCAUGCACUCACACACAACACACACACAUAUGGAGAGAGGAAGUGAGAGAUAGAGGGCCUCUCCUCUUUUUCUUUCUUUUUUCUUUCCUUGGUAACAAGAGAGGAGGAGAACCGAGAGCAAGAGAGGGAGAAAAUAAGAAUACAAGAAGAAGAGCAAGGGAGUAGGAGAGCAUAGAAAAGAGAGAGAUGUGUUAGGAAAAAAGAAAUCCAAGAUCAAAAUAGGGCACGAGGG